RNAcentral lists this ribosomal RNA (253 nucleotides) under uncultured bacterium. RNAcentral describes it as "partial 16S ribosomal RNA". It matches the Rfam family "Bacterial small subunit ribosomal RNA", at positions 524 to 776 of the family's 1533-position model. The record is from RNAcentral.
UACGAAGGGGGCUAGCGUUGUUCGGAAUUACUGGGCGUAAAGCGUGCGCAGGCGGUUAUGCAAGACAGAUGUGAAAUCCCCGGGCUCAACCUGGGAACUGCAUUUGUGACUGCAUGGCUAGAGUACGGUAGAGGGGGAUGGAAUUCCGCGUGUAGCAGUGAAAUGCGUAGAUAUGCGGAGGAACACCGAUGGCGAAGGCAAUCCCCUGGACCUGUACUGACGCUCAUGCACGAAAGCGUGGGGAGCAAACAGG